This 75-nucleotide transfer RNA is filed under the name Bradyrhizobium elkanii. Its description in RNAcentral is "tRNA-Ala". It matches the Rfam family "tRNA". Rfam says of the family: Transfer RNA (tRNA) molecules are approximately 80 nucleotides in length. Their secondary structure includes four short double-helical elements and three loops (D, anti-codon, and T loops). The record is from RNAcentral. Lineage: Bacteria; Pseudomonadati; Pseudomonadota; Alphaproteobacteria; Hyphomicrobiales; Nitrobacteraceae.
GGGCCCGUAGCUCACCGGGAGAGCGGCCGUUUUGCACGCGGCGGGUAGGGGGUUCAAUUCCCUCCGGGUCCACCA